This 468-nucleotide ribosomal RNA is filed under the name uncultured bacterium. Its description in RNAcentral is "partial 16S ribosomal RNA". It matches the Rfam family "Bacterial small subunit ribosomal RNA", at positions 28 to 507 of the family's 1533-position model. The record is from RNAcentral.
GACGAACGCUGGCGGCGUGCUUAACACAUGCAAGUCGAACGGAAAGGCCCUGCUUUUGUGGGGUGCUCGAGUGGCGAACGGGUGAGUAACACGUGAGUAACCUGCCCUUGACUUUGGGAUAACUUCAGGAAACUGGGGCUAAUACCGGAUAGGAGCUCCUGCUGCAUGGUGGGGGUUGGAAAGUUUCGGCGGUUGGGGAUGGACUCGCGGCUUAUCAGCUUGUUGGUGGGGUAGUGGCUUACCAAGGCUUUGACGGGUAGCCGGCCUGAGAGGGUGACCGGCGACAUGAGGACUGAGAUACGGCGCAGACUCCUACGGGAGGCAGCGGUGGGGAAUAUUGCACAGUGGGCGGAAGCCUGAUGCAGCAACGCCGCGUGCGGGAUGACGGCCUUCGGGUUGUGAACCGCUUUCGCCUGUGACGAAGCGUGAGUGACGGUAAUGGGUAAAGAAGCACCGGCUAACUACGUG